Macaca mulatta (Rhesus monkey) is the source of this 7145-nucleotide long non-coding RNA. RefSeq lists it as uncharacterized. The record is from RefSeq and is a predicted model, not a curated record. Lineage: Eukaryota; Metazoa; Chordata; Mammalia; Primates; Cercopithecidae.
AAAAAAAAAAUGUAGACUGGAUAUGAUGAGGUCCAUACAGACUGAAUGAUUGUCUUGGGCUUUAGAGAGUUAGUGAUGACUCCCAGGCCAGCUCUCUUUCCACUAAACCACAAACUGAGGUAGUUUGUAAUUGAAAGUCUAAAAUAGUUUUCCUUUCAGAAGCCCUUGAAUCUUCUAAAAUGCAAACAUAGAAAGUCUAAGAAAUGAACUUUAACUCAAACUGUGGCCAGUCACACAUUUCAGGUCGUCCUUCCCCGCCUGUGUCCUCCAUCCUGACUGGCUCGCCUCGCCCUCCUCCCAUGCUCUCUCCCUCAUGGCUGCCAGGACAUCAGCCUCCGUGGGACCCCUUAUGGGAAACACAGGCUUGUUUCGUCUCUUCUCCUCACCCCCAAAGAGAAUUGAAACAGGUCCAUCAUUUCUAUCCUCUGAAUUCAGAAUAUAUUGGUAGAUUUGAAAGAACACAGAAAAAUUAGAAAAAAAAAAUAGCUCUAAUCACCACAGAAGAGAUGCUGGUUAUCAGCUGGGCCAACCCCUUCAUUUUACAGAUGCAAAGGCAGAGGUCCAAAGAGAGGAGGGAAAACAAUUUGCUCAAAGCAAAUGCAUUAUGUCCCAGGCUGAACUCUUCAUUUUCCCUCUCAAAGCUCCCAUUGCCUCAGUAAACAGUGUCACUUCAGCCACAUGCUUCAGCCAGAGGCCCAAGAGUUAGCCUUGAGACCACCACCCACCACGUUCAAGCCACCAGAACAUAACUUGGCUCUCCUUUCUCAAUGUAGUCCAGGUAGGCCUCCUCAUACCCUGCAGGUCAGCCCACCCCAGGGCAGGUCAUGCCUCUCUCUUCCAGACUGCUGCAGACCUACUCUUGCCACCCCACCCCAACCCAUUCCUCCCCACAGAAAAGCAACGAUGGCCCCUGCAACCUGCAAACCCAAUCAUGCUUAUUUUCCCUGCUCUCAUCCUCCCAAUAGCUUCUUAUCACUCUUAGAAAAAAUGUGGAACUCCCCACCAAGGCCCACAAGGACUAUGUGAUCUGACUUGGGCCAUUCUCUCUUUCCUUGCCACCUACCACACUCCUUCAGCCUGUUCCAACCAUACCACACUGGCUUUCUUGCUUUGCUUCAAACACCCAAGCUCCGUCCUGCCCAGGGCCUGUUUCCCCCUUUGCUCAGAAACCCAUGCCCCAUAUGCUGACAUGUCCCAACCCUCCCCGACCAGCCUAACACAGCUGGCCCCUCAGCACUCUGCCCCGCACCAUACUUCACUCUCCCCAUAGUGGUUUGCCGGUUCCCCUAUUAGAAUAUAAACUCUAUGCAGGGGAAGAGCUUGUCUUGUUCACUGUUGUAUUAUAUCUCCUGCACUUGGAACAAUGCUCAGUGGGUAAGAACUCAAUGAAUAGUUGUUAAAUAGAUAAUUGCAUGAAGGAAUGGAUGAAUAAAUGAUUUUGUUCCAUAACAUGUUUCUGCUUUGUGGCAGGGCUUGGAUUUGAACCCAGGUCUUCUAGUUUUCAGGCCAGGCUCUUUCCUCUACAAAAUAACAUUUUGAGAGUUUGAAGAAUCCCACAUCUUUAGUUUUAGGGACAGAAAAAUUGCCUGUGGCUCCAGAAGCCUGUUUUCCCAGAAGGGCCUGGCUCUCCUCACUGUGCAGAGCACAGCUUGAUGCAGCAGAGCUUGAGAAUGCACACUCAUGCUGCAGAGGGGCCAGCCUGGCAGCUCAUCACGGCAGCCGCUGACAACUGUGGGCACUGGUGCAUACUUUAUAGCAGGUGUUUGCUGGACAUGCUUAGCUUAACUGAGCUCCAACGUGCAACAUGUAGACUGUGUGAGCAACACACACACACACACACACACACACAACACACACUGCAUUUAAACAAAGCACAUCAGAAAAGAGUUCAGGCUUUCACCCUCCCUUCCUGCCAAGCACGGAGACAAACAGUAGUGGUCUUGGUUCUCUUUGUCUCUGAGUCUAGACCAUUCAUUUCCUCUCAUUCAACCAGCUUUAUUUUUGGCGGUGUAACUUGCUUUCUUGAGCAUGUAUCUUAUGUUCUCAGACUUUGUAACCUAUGAAUCUCCUGUGAGGACCGACCUACCAAUGCUCAGAAUACAAAGGCCGGAGUGAGCAGUGCCCUCUGUGAGACAGAAUGUUACUGCAAAUGAAAAAACCACCUUCACCACCUGAGCAGGAUUCUUGCUUCUAAUGCAAAAUGUAACCUGUCUCUAUAGGAGGGAUAGAGGGAUAUUAGGUUGAGCACUCCACACACUGGGGUGCUUACUACAGAGCACCCCAAAGUGUGGUUUAGGUCUGAGGGACCCGGUGAGCAAGGAAGGCUGCACCGGUGUAGGGACAGGCACAGUCUGGGUCCUUUGGUGGCCGGGUGUACAAAGGAAGCAGAGCCUGGGCUCCCGUCGUCUCCUGCUGUCACAGCCCCUCCAUGGGGGCGCUGGCCCCUCUCUCCCCCUCUCUCCUGCCUCUUUCCAGGAUAUUCUCCUUUGCCCCACAGUGAGAUGUGAGGGGCGUCAGGAAGACUCUCUGCCAUUGACUCUCUCUGUCCAGGGGCUGCCAUAUGUGACUUCUGCUGUCUGUGACCAGGACGCGGGCUCUUGAAGGAGCAGGGAGGAGCAAGAGAGAGGGGAGAGGACGCCCCGGCUUGCGCGGGGCUGAGGCUGGAGGGAAAGAUGCACAGGGACUAGGGUCUAACGGGAAGGCCGCCUUGCGCUCCGCGGCUCGGAAGCGGCAGGGGGCGCCCGCGGCUCCUCGCGGCGCCGAGCCGGGAAGGGCUGGGGAAAUUCCUCCCGCUUGAAGGCAGAGCCCGCCCCAGAGAGCAGACUGGGACACUGCGGUUUCCGAGAUCCGCAGCCCCGCCGCCUCCGCCCACGCCAGCCCUCGGGAGGCGGAGGACGCGCUGACGGCGGCCUCCACAGGCGCUCUGCAGCCUGGGGGUAACCCUCAGCCCACCCAGUGCCCAGCGAGGGGACUCUGAUCCACAGGCUCCGCCCAGCUCCUUGGGUCCUCUUUUCAAGUAUCUGAGCUGGGAACAUCAACAUCAUCUUUAAUGUCUCGCUAUCCAACAGCUUCCACAUUCAGUGAGUUCCCGAGACCUGAAUAUCUGGCUGUGAAGAGCCCUCCUCUUCAUAGUCCUACAAUUUCUGUCCAGUUCAGGCCCUUGUCCCCCUCACAUGGGCUCUUGCCACCACACCCAGCAUGCGCACCAACCUCCCCUCCUUUCUCUCCCAGCUCUGACACAAAGUGUCACUACCAGAUCAUCACACUCACCCACAGCUCCAGCCAGCCUCUCCCUUCUACAGAAACUUAAAUGGUUUUCUUUUGCCAGCUGAGCAAACAAUUGCCAUUCGGGACCCCCGUGAUAUAACCUCAACCUAACUUCCCUCCUGCACCCACUCCUUACACUUCAACCAAACUCAGUGUCCUUCACACACAGGCCAGCUUUUCUCAUCUGUCUCCAUACUCUUCACAUUCUGUCUGGAAUGUGCAUAGCUCCCAUGCCUGCCUAUAAAAACUCUACCUCUUCAUUAAGGCCCAGUUCAAAUGAUACUUUCACCUUGAAACUUCCCAGGAGAUCCCACUAAGGAUCAAUUUCUCAUUUAUUUAUUCAGCCAACAAAUAUUUAUUGAGCACCAACUAUGUGCCAGAUUCUGUUCCAGGCCCUGAGAAUUCAAUGGCAAAUAGGAGGGAUGCGUUCCUACUCACAGGGAGCUUGCUGUUGGUGGGUGACAGAACAAAAGAAAACAAACAAACAAAUAAAUGGUAGAUCCCAGUAAGGGCAAUGGAGGCACUCUUGGAGUGGUUGGCCUUUAUUAUAGUCUACUUGUAACAUGCCUUUUUGCAAUCAAAUACUACCUCGUACACCCUCUGAGGGAAGAAUCUGAGUCUCAUUUAUCUGUGUGACUUCCACAGUGCCUGACAUCACCCCAUCCGUGUAAUACCCCUUCAGAGUGCAUUUGUGGAAGGAAGGGAAGAAGAAAGGAAGGAAGGAAGGAAGGGAUGGAGGGAGGGAAGCAAGAAAGAAAGAGAAGGAUUUGAAAAACAUUUAAACAAAUACUCCAGGUCAGCAGUGAAGCACCUAUUAGUAUCUUAUCAAAUUAAAAAACGAAAGGAAAUUCUCCUUUUGCAUUUGUCAAAGGUUGUCAACUUUGCAAUCCCUAGAGGUGGCUUUCAGUGUAAGAGCCUCGCUGGAGAUAGGAAAGGCAACAUGGGGCAGGGGUAGGGCACUACACGGAUCUGGGAUUUAGUCCCUGCCCUGCCACAUCAUGGUUGAGAGGUUUUGACAAGUUCCUGAAUCUCUCUGAGUCUUAAUGUCCUCAUCUGUAAAAUGGGGAUCAUAAAACCUGUCUCACAGACUUGGAAAACUAAAUGACAAAUUCAGCACACCAAAAUCAUAAAAUUAAUUCAGGAGUAUCCUAGGUACUUAUACUGGCUUUGUUUGGAGGAUACGAAAGUAGGCUAUCUGCCUCCAGAAGCAGAAAUCCUUUGGAUGUAGGAAUAUUUAAAAAUAUUAUUUUUAAAUCUCUUGUUCUGGAUUCUUAAGGAAGAAAGAAUCCUGGGCUCUCAAGAUAACCUCAGGUUGCCUGAGAAGCAACUGGGUCCUUUCUUGCUCUCCCCUAAAACAUGUCCUCCCAGAGUUGCCCUCCUUCCAACCAGUAGAAUUUGUUGCUUCAAGCACAGGAGUCAUACAAUUGCCUUCCCUAAAAGGCAUGCUCUGCUGCCUCCUGCUCCUAGAAAAUAUGGCAUACGAUGAAGUCAUCUAUUGCCCUUGGCUAUGUUUUGCUAGUGCCAGUGUGUGAAAUGUGGCUUACCCAUAUGUGCCUUACUCCCCAGACACAGAUUGCAAAGACCCUGCAAAGGUCUCCCUUAGCCCACUGCCCUAUUCCAAUACUGUCUCAGACUCAACUUUACAUCUUCUGUGCCUUCUAGAAUUCACUCAUCUCUGUACUCCCUAUGUCAGAUUUCCAUGGGUUUAGAAUGGUAGCAAAUGAUUUAGCCUCCAGAUGUUUCAUCCAGAAUUAAGCCUCUAGAAACACAUUAUCACUCCAACAUGAUGUGCUUUCAAUAGAGUAAGGACUAUGCUGGUGACCACUAGGAAAUACAUUCACCCCUUGCUUGUCCAAAGUGUGUCAGGAUAGGCUCCAGAGUUUUGGCAAAAGUUCCUUGCAGCAUCUUGAGCUGUUAUUCUGUUUUAAAAUUAAGUCCACUGAAAAUGGCUCUUGGCAAUCAAAAUCUGCUUCUCUGACGAAGACAGCAUAUACGCAGUUUCUUGGACAGAUAACCCUCUGGAUAUUUGAUGAGUGUUCACUGAAUUAAAGAAGGGAGAGUUACUCAAAUAUAAGCAAUCUUUCAUCAGCACGUUCCUCACUCGAGUGUUCCUGGAAUAUCACCCCUCAUCCCUCAUUCCUCCUGACCAUCUCAAUUAACCAGAACCCCAGUGGUUAUGUUUCCCAGUUUCUUGGUUUCUCUUCCUUCCUUAACACACACAUGAUUUUUGUUUUAAUUGGUGGGAUUGAGAGGAGUAGGUGGUCUCUGAGAUAAACGCUUCUUUAAACCUUUCCUAUGGUGCUGAUAUCAGACAAAUGUUUUAAUGAAGUUGCAGGGAAUUGGAGAGAAUAGAAUGGAAUACUCUGGCAACUUUCAUUCUUGCCUGAGAGUCCCCUUGCCCCUCCACUCCCACCUUUCACCACUUACUUCAAACAUGGUGGAAUAGCUCACACUCAUGGUAAAAGAGAUAAUCACAAAAGGAAAAGAAGCAUCUGGAAAGCAGGUAUCGAAGGAGUGGCAAAGCCUUCUCUGGUGUGGGUGAACUGAACUCUCGAUUUUAUGAAGGUUAACUGGAGCUGGAGCUGAAGAGCUGUGAGUUCCUGCUCCCACUGGAAACCUUUUCCAGCGAGGCCUGGAGCUGCUGUCCUUGGGUGAAAUUGCUCAUGGGCUCGCUUUCUAUUUGGGGGACUCAGAAUUUCACUCUGUCACCAUCUGGGGACUUAAGGGCAGAGUCAGGGGAGAGUCAGUGGGAACCUCUGCUGGCAGGGGCCUUCCACUGAGGGCCCGGUCCUGUGGCAUGGUUCUGCUCGUUAGUACAUAUGAAGCCAUCUCAAUUCUCUAAGGCAGUUUUCCCAUCUGUAAAAAUGGGAUCAAUAAUACACUUCAUAUGGUUGUGGUUGAGUCAACUAUGUGAAAUGUAUUUGAAAGCACAUUGUAUUGAAAGUGUAGUACAAAUGUUAGUUACUGUCAUCAUAGAGAUGACACAUAUAAAAACAUAUAAUUUUUUGAACUUUAUAUUAAAAAUUAACAGACAGUAAAACCGAUUGGUUUGUAUGUGAACAGUUCUAUGAAAUGUAAUACAUGUAUAGAUUUGCAUAACCAUGACCACAAUAAAAACAGAAGUUUUGUUGACCUAUUCAUUCAUUUAAUAACACUUAUUCAUGAUGUAUUAUUAUUUCAUAUAUUAUUGUUGUAUAUAGUUUAUAUUGCUGGAUUCAAUUUUCUGUGUGUGUGUGCGUGUAACAACAUUCAAUAUGAGACCUACCCUCUUAACAAAUUUGAAGUAUAUAAUACAGUAUUGUUAACUAUAGGCACAAUGUUGUAUAUCAGAGCUCUAGAAUUUAUUCAUCCUGUAUAGUUAAAACUUUAUACUCAUUGAAUAGCAACUUCUAUUUCCCUUGAGGGAUAUUGUUUUAAAUUUUCUUUCUUUGUACUGUCUUUGUCUGGUGUCAGGGUAAUGCUGGUUUCAUAAAACAAGCUGAGAAAUAUUCCUUUCUUUUUUCUGGGAAGAUCACUGUUAUUUCUUGUUGAAACCUUUGCCAGAAUUCAUCAGUGAGACCAUCGGAACCUAGAGGUGUCUUUUUCAAAGGAUUUUUAACUCUGAAUUCAAUGUCUUUAAUAAUUAUAAAACUAUUUAUAUUAUCUAUUUCAUGAAGGCUAGAUUCUGGUAGAUUGAACUUUUCAAGAACUUGGUGCAUUUUUAUCUAACUUGCAAGAUUUGUGUGUGUACAAUUUUUUGUAAUACUCAUUAUUAUUUGUUUUAAGUGUCUGUAGGGUCUGUAGUAAUACCCCUUCUUCCAUUUCUGAUACUGGCAAUUUGUAUCUUCUUUUUAAAAUAGAUGUUUACCAAUUAUAUUAAACAUUUUCAGUUUUAUUGA